GACGAACGCUGGCGGCGUGCUUAACACAUGCAAGUCGAACGGAAAGGCCCUGCUUGCAGGGUACUCGAGUGGCGAACGGGUGAGUAACACGUGGGUGAUCUGCCCUGCACUUCGGGAUAAGCUUGGGAAACUGGGUCUAAUACCGGAUAGGAGCCAUCUUUAGUGUGGUGGUUGGAAAGUUUUUUCGGUGUAGGAUGAGCUCGCGGCCUAUCAGCUUGUUGGUGGGGGUAUGGCCUACCAAGGCGGCGACGGGGAGCCGGCAUGAGAGGGUGUACGGCCACAUUGGGACUGAGAUACGGCCCAGACUCGGACGGGUGGCAGAAGGGGGGAAUAUUGCACAAUGGGCGCAAGCGUGAGGCAUGGAGGCCGCGUGGUGGUUGAAGGCCUUCGGGUUGUAAACUCCUUUCGGUAGGGAAGAAGCUUUUUUGUGACGGUACCUAGAUAAGAAGCACCGGCUAACUACGUG
This 466-nucleotide ribosomal RNA is filed under the name uncultured bacterium. RNAcentral describes it as "partial 16S ribosomal RNA". It matches the Rfam family "Bacterial small subunit ribosomal RNA", at positions 28 to 507 of the family's 1533-position model. The record is from RNAcentral.